UGGCGAACGGGUGAGGAACACGUGAGAAACCUGCCUUUCAUUCUGGGAUAACACCGGGAAACCGGUGCUAAUACCGGAUACUCCAUCUUGGCGGCAUCGCCGAGCUGGGAAAAAAUUUUGAUGAAAGAUGGUCUCGCGGCCUAUCAGCUAGUUGGUGGGGUAAUGGCCUACCAAGGCGACGAUCCAUAGCUGGUCUGAGAGGACGGCCAGCCACACUGGGACUGAGACACGGCCCAGACUCC
Molecule: ribosomal RNA, 242 nt
Filed under: uncultured bacterium
Lineage: Bacteria
Description: partial 16S ribosomal RNA
Rfam family: Bacterial small subunit ribosomal RNA
Source: RNAcentral